Myotis myotis is the source of this 2684-nucleotide long non-coding RNA. RefSeq lists it as uncharacterized. The transcript has 2 exons. The record is from RefSeq and is a predicted model, not a curated record. NCBI's taxonomy places the organism in Eukaryota, Metazoa, Chordata, Mammalia, Chiroptera, Vespertilionidae.
UUGCACUUCCAUUACAACAUUGAUCCCUCUGGAUUACAAAUCAUUGUGUGUGCUGUCUUUCCCACAAGAUGACCAGCUCCUUGAGGACAGGGAGUCUGUUACUUAUUUGAGGGUUCCCAAAGCCUAGCGAUAAUAGCCUGCUACAGAGUAGACAUUUCAGUGUAUGUUGCUGAAUUCUACUGAAAGGAUUUACAGAAACUCAAGGUAGUGAUUUUCGACAACUGUUCACUUUGGUGUGUAAAACAGACAAAGAAAAUGAAGGAAAGAGGAUUCAAAUCCGGAAGUCUCCUAUCCCAUUAUUCUACAAGGAGUGUUGGUGAUUGCACUGAAAUGCCAUUUUUAAAGAAAGAAGGGCUUCUGGACUGAAAACUGGGGCAAUGUAGGAACUGUAACCGCAUAAUAGCUGCUGGUCAGUGCAUCCAUCCAAAUGGAACAAAGUACAAAAGCCACCCUGUCCCCAAAGUAAGCUUUAGAAGUGCCAGAGAAAUGAUAAGAAAAUGGCCUGUGCUCAACAAACUGCAAUUAGGACAUGACACUGAAGAUCCUCUCCCACAUGUUCUCCCAGGCUUGCAUGACAUGGUAAGGAACCUCCACUUGCCAUCCUUCCUCCUGCUAAAGAAAUGGAUGUUUCCCACCACUGACUAUGAGGUCUACCCCUCCUCUCCAAUAGGGUCAGGCAGUCCACAGACCCUGGGCACCCACCUCCGAAGGCUCAAUAUUCCUAAAUCAACCCUUUAGUAAUGUUAUUUAUUUAUUACUAACUGGGAAACAGCCUUUGGAGAGAGAGAAAUAGACAGGUGCAAAGGAAAAACAACGGUUUGUUCUAUGUUUUGUUCUGUCAGCAUUUAUACUUAAUUUUACCAGUCCAAAUGGUGGUAACUUUUCUAAUGGACAAAGAAAAUUUAUUUCUCCUGCUAGUUUGAUUUUAACUGGGAAAAUAAAGAACCCCAACAAAGCCUAACACGAAAGAGUUCAGACCUAGGAAAGGGAAUAUACUGGCCCAGAAAAUGAGCUCUAUUACGUUCACGUGUUAUUUCUAAUAUACAUAAAAAUACUCUGAAGAAAAAAGAGGACACUUCAACCAAAAAAUGAAUAAGCAAAUUGUGGUAUAGUCAUCCAGUGGAGCAUUACGCAGCCAUAAAAAAUAAUUAAGUACUGGUUCAUGCUACAACAUGGAUGAAUCUGGAAAACAGUAUGCUAAGGGAAAGAACCCAGACACAAAAGGCCACACUGUAGAAUUGCAUUUAUAUGCAAUAUUCCGAAUAGGUAAACACAUAGAGACAGAAAGCAUAUUGGUGGUUGCCAGGGACGGGGGAAGUGGGGAACAGGGGGGGACUGCUUAAUGGGUAGGGGGGUUCUCUUUUGGGAUGUUUUGAAACUAGACAGAGGUGGUGAUUGCACAACAUUGUUAAUAUACUAAAUGCCACUGAAUUUUCCACUUUAAAAUGGUUACAUGGUUUUAAAUAGCUUAUGUGAAUUUCACCUCAUUUAAUCUUUAAAAUAAAGAAUACUAAUGGACAAAACAAAGAUGCAUACAGCAUGUAAAUCGACAAGCCCAUGAACUCCUACGGGAAAGAUAAGUAUGUCUGCUGGGACUCUGCUUCUACUCUUGAUCACAUCGCAAGGUUCAAGUGCUAGGGGCUGUAUAGAUUCUGCCAUCAUGUGUGUGUCUUUCUGAAAAGACAGGGAAGGGAACAGAAAGUGAAGAAAAUAGAAUGGGAAGGCCUUGCCAAACGCAAGCAAAGGAGGGGUGAUUACCCCUAGUGCACCCCACCCAACUUGGCACCAGGAGUAAUGCUCCCAUUAAGGUUUCGAAACGCCAGCCAGAGCUGGAAUCAACACAAGCCAGCUUCUCUGCCUGGAUAAAAAGCCAGCCCCCCAGCAAGAAGAGCUCCAUUUGGGGUGCUCCAGGAGGCUAGCCCCGGUCAGCGUCAGCGACGGGCUCUCCCCGGCCGGCCCGCCGAACAGUCAAAGCUUAUUGGAACCUCUCCUCCUCAGGGGUCCCGGUCCACUUCAUCCCACCUGCCUCCCAAGGGUCCUGCCUCCAACCACGAUUAAAAAUGGUGCCCUCAGAACUUGCCCCUGUUUCAGCCUGAACUAAAUACCCUCAGCCCCUCCCCGCUCUGGCUGGCUCGGGAGCCCACGGACCCGACCCGCGCGGACGUGCACGCGGCGCCGCUGCUCGGAGACUUGCUCCACGGGGAACACGGAUGCCCCCCACAUGCCCCCGGGGCCUGGCAGCACUAUCCGGUCACAGGCGUCCCGGCCCACCUGACCUAACAGCCGUCUCAAAGGCCCGCACUCGCUUGGCACCACGCCUCUGCCGACCUGCCAGAAACCAAAACAGGUGUCCCUCAGCUACACCCCGACGCCCCCUGAGGUCCUGGCCCCUCCACGCACAGGGGUCCCUCUCCGGACCCCUCAACUCCUGGCAACAGCACUCCCUCAGCCCCUCCAGCUAGCAGCGAGGCCGUCUCCAGCCUCCUCCAGCCGGGCCUCGACGACCCCCAGGCUCCCAGCCGGGCCCGGACGCCCCCUCCCCCUUACCUGCGGGGGUUCAGCCCCGGCUGACAGGGGGCCGGGCAGCGCCUGGAGGAGCAGGAGCGCCAUGCCACCCAGGAGCCUUCUCCUCUCCAUCCCCCUCCUGCUCCUGCUCCUCCGCCACGGCGCCGCCACCACCCUCC